AGUGAACGCUGGCGGUAGGCCUAACACAUGCAAGUCGAACGGCAGCACAGUAAGAGCUUGCUCUUACGGGUGGCGAGUGGCGGACGGGUGAGGAAUACAUCGGAAUCUACUUUUUCGUGGGGGAUAACGUAGGGAAACUUACGCUAAUACCUCAUACGACCUACGGGUGAAAGCAGGGGAUCUUCGGACCUUGCGCGAUUGAAUGAGCCGAUGUGGGAUUAGCUAGUUGGCGGGGUAAAGGCCCACCAAGGCGACGAUCCGUAGCUGGCCUGAGAGGAUGAUCGGCAACACUGGAACUGGGACACGGUCCAGACUCCUACGGGAGGCAGCAGUGGGGAAUAUUGGACAAUGGGCGCAAGCCUGAUCCAGCCAUACCGCGUGGGUGAAGAAGGCCUUCGGGUUGUAAAGCCCUUUUGUUGGGAAAGAAAAGCAGCAGGUUAAUACCCCGCUGUUCUGACGGUACCCAAAGAAUAAGCACCGGCUAACUUCGUG
RNAcentral lists this ribosomal RNA (492 nucleotides) under uncultured bacterium. RNAcentral describes it as "partial 16S ribosomal RNA". It matches the Rfam family "Bacterial small subunit ribosomal RNA", at positions 29 to 507 of the family's 1533-position model. The record is from RNAcentral.